GUAGGCGUGCGGGAGCCGGGGCCGGUGGGACUGGGACCUGCUCUCAGCCGCCGGUCCCCGCGUACGGGGAAGCCCCGCCGUCGCCGAGUCCGCCCGAGUGCGUCCCCGUCCCGGGCGCGCUCCGCGCUUCCCGGGGAAACUUGGCGCCAGAGUGCGGGGCGCCCCGGAACGCGAGCAGGGAGGGGGCGGCCCCUGCUCCCUGCUUUGCGGGGUCUCGGAGGAGAGAAAGAAAGGGUAGAUUCCUCGGGGAAGGAUGGAGGGCGGGAGGGGAAUCUGGGCAGCGCCCCCCCCCCCCAGCCUCCCCUCAGAUCUGGCGGCGGAAUCCGCUCCCCCUCCCGGAAUCUCCGCGGCAGGAACGCGGCCCGCAGGGAGGGGAGGCGGGCGCGCGGCCAGGCCGAGGAAUCUUCGACGUGUCACUUUCGGGGCUGGAGCUUUCCUUGUGGCGGCGGGAGGAGGGCGUGCGUGCGAAGUGCGGCUGCAAGUUGGGGCGGCCUCUGCGCCCCGGGUGAGGGUCGGGGGCUCUGGGCUGGGGUGCCGCCGAGAGUCCCCCGUUCCCUGGCCCUGCCCGGACACUCCCCGCCGGCCGCUGGCCACCUCCCGCGCGCCACGUCCUCCCUCCCCGUCCUGCCCCCCGCCCCCCCCCCCCGGGCUGGGGGCGGGAACCGGCGGCCGCGGCCGGACUUGGCGAGCCUGGCGGCUGUGCACGGGCGCGGCGGGAAGGAGCGGGCGAGCCGGUGUGCGGCCAGCGGAGUCCGGUUGAAGGAUCCUUUGGAGUCUUAGAAUUUUUGGCAGUACCUUGAAGGGAUGGAAACUGUUCAUCUGGAGUUGGACUUGAGGAUGAACCAGGAGGCCCGGUGCUCAGCUGUAAUUUGAUGGUGGGACACUUCCAGGCCUGCUAUGCUUUCAGGGUUGAUAUUUGCUUAGUGAAAACUUGUUGAUCCCCAGAGAGGGCAUAGACUGACUCCCCUGUUUCUGUUUAGUAAGGUUCCUCAUCAGUUACACAUAAAGUCUUUGCACAAUUUAAAUUCCCUGAAUCCAGCUGUUAGGUUCUCUGAAGAACCUAACUCGUUUUCCUGAUGAUAACUUACUUGGGAAUUUACAUGAGUUAAGAACUUCAGCUGCUUCAGUUGUUUCUCAGUAUUUAGAAAUAGUUAAUGCUUUUUUGAAAGUUGAUUGACCACCAGGGUAUCAUGUUAGCCUAAAAACUGAUAUAUAUAUAUAUAUAUAUAGAGAGAGAGAGAGAGAGAGAGAGAGAGAGAGAGGGAGAGGGAGAGGGAGGGAGGGGCAGAGAACUUUUGGUUUUUUUUGGCGCAGCACUGGGGAUUGAACACAGGGCCUUUGCACUGAGUUACAUCCUAAGUCUUUUUAAUUUUUUUUCUUUGAAACAGGGCCCAGAUGGGGGUCAAACUUGCAUUGCUCUUGCCUCAGGCCCAAAGUGUGCUGGGAUUACAGGCGUACUACCAUGUCUGGCUUGAAAGUUGUGAUUUAUUAACUCUGUUUUCCCUAAGAUUUAUCUAUCAUUUCAGUUCUUUUCUCCCUCUACUCCUUUUGGGAUUGGUUCAGAGACAUUGAUCUUUACUAGUGGUUUUCAGUUAUGCAGAGUAAGAGUUAGGGUCUGGAUUCUCCUGUCUAGCAAGAUCUAGAGAUUUGUUUCUGUCUUCCUCCAUCUCCCUAAUCAUGACUAUUUUCUCCAUUAGUCAGAAAUACAAUGCUGGGCUGGGGAUUUAGCUCAGUGGUUCUGCCACCUGCCUUGCAAGCACAAGGACCCGAGUUGGAUCCCCAGUACCAAAACACAAAAUAAAACAAAACAAAAAAAAUAAUGUUGCUUUAUGUGAUAUUUCUCUCAUUUCUGAUCUCUAUUUUGUUUUUUCUUGACAUUGUGCAAGAAUUAUUGACACAGAUCUGGAAUUUUGACAUUGGGGUCAUUGUGCACUGAGAUUUUCUGUAUUUGUGCUUUAUAUGUACAGGGACUCCAUUUUGAAAUUUCUUUCUUGAUACUGGGGAUUGAACGUGGGACAUUGUGCAUAUGAAACUCAUGCUCUAUCACUCCCUGCCAGCUUCUCUACUGUGAGUUUUAUGUUUAGUAGGUCAAAAUAUAUAUUUUUUAAGUAGGUUAAAAUCUUAAGGUCCGAGCUGAGUGUGGUGGUGCAUGUUUGCAAUCCUAGUACUUGGGAGGCUGAGGCAGGUGAAUUGCAAAGUUUGAGGGCAGCCUGGGCUACAUAGUGAGAUGCUGUCUUCAAAAACAAAGAACAAACAAACAAGGUCUUAAACAAGGUCUUUAAGGUCUUAGUCCAUACAGGUAUUUCAAAAUAUAGUGUUGACCUGAUAUAUGUUAUGUUCUUUUUCCUUAGAUCCUAAUAUACUGAAUAUAUUUUUGAAUGCUGAAAAAAAUUGUGAACAGUAUUGUCAAUUAGAAGACUGAGUGUUGGUAAAGGCAGUAAUAAGUGGCAGAUUUUAUAUCCGUACCUAUUUGUCAUUAGUCAUGCUUUUUGUUAUUCCUCGGAACAAUUAGAUUAGUGCCUUAAGCUUUUAGUUUAAGAAAUGUGCUUUAAAGUGUAAGAUAGUUAAUGCUUACCUAAUUGGCUCAGAAGAGCUUUUAUUGUUCUUAAGGAAAUAAUUUCCUCUUGUUUCAUAUUAUCCAGCACAGUGGCUGAGUGAAAUUGUUAACUUGAAACACAUUUGUUUUCUUCUAUGGAUGUGGAUAUUCCCAGAGUGCAUUUGACACUUUGAUAUCAGUUGCACGCGAUAUGUUGAGAUGCAAGUCAGGGUAACCUAUUAUACUUAAAAUAAAAAUAAUUCAAAGACAUGAAAUUAUAAAAUUUCAGGAAGUAAGGAAAUAGUGUUUUGGCAUUUGAGGUCUUUUAUACAUGGAAAUUAUUUCUUGUAUCAGUUUUAUAAAUUAGUAUGGGAGUCUGACCAAUAUGUACUUUUUUCUUUGGUAAAUACAUCAUCUCUUGCUUUAUUCCUGCCUUUAUUCUUGCCUGCCCUAUUCAUUUACUUUCUAUGGAUAAAUAAUAUUCCUUGUUAUUUGCAAGGCUGAUGUAACAACACAGCUGUUGAAUGCUUGGCAUUUCUGCUUCUGGUGAAAUGCUGUUUGUGCAGAUUUAUCUGAUCCAGAUGUGUGACCAGCAAGCUACAUUUCUAAUUAUAAAGACAGCCAAAUUCCAUUAUAAGAACAUCAUGGGAUUACAGGACCGGGAAACAUCCUGAAAGGACAUCUAGUUCAUUCUCCAGCUUCUCAGCAGGACCACACUUCAUAAACCACUCCAGCACUGAACGAAGCAGCAGAGAAUGUUCCACCCAUGUAUAGGCUGAAUGUAGAGUCAUUGGAAUUAUAACUGGAAAAAGAAAUGAGUUCCCCUUGUCUGGUCUUAUUGCUUUAUCUAUAAACAGAAUCAGGUCCAGAAAAAUUUGACUUAUUCUGGACUUUCAGGACUCUGCCUAGAACUUCCUGUCCUUUCUUCUGAAGUGUUCUCUGCUAAGGGAGAAGAGGGUGGAAGGCUUUAAAAUGCCCAUUUCACAUCCAGGAUGUAGCUCUCUGGUUACUCAUUUAGAAGUAGGUGAUAAAUUAGUGACAGCUAGAUUCUAUUGAAGUAUAUUAACUCUUUUUGAAACCUAACAUGAAGUGAGAUAUUUUAUUAUGUUAUGUGUGUAGAUGUUGUUGUGCUUUAAUGAUAAAAUACAGAAGAAAUUAGGUGUGCAAUUAGAGCUAGAAAGUUUACAAAUGUAGUACAUAGGCCCAAAGAUCAACAUCUCUGAAUAAAUAUGAGGUCCUUUAACUUGGCUUGAGGUUGUUGAGUCUGGGGUUCCAUUUUAUCCUACAAGUGAAUAGGUAGCCUGUUACUGUUUCAUGGAUGCUGGCAGAAGUUAAGGGACUCCUGUACCACACACAAAGGACUUUAUUACUCCUGGCAUACCACACAUAGCAUAAACAUCGCCAUAUGUGUAUUAGUUUGUCCUUGCCCCAAAUUGUAUGGGAUGAUACAAUGUCCAGAUGGAACUGUAUACAGAGUGGAUUUGUGUUGCUGUCAAGGAACACUAACCUUGGGGAAUCCUCCGUGUUUACAACAUACAGUAGGUGAACUUGCUCUUGCCUCCAAGGGGAGAUAUUCAUCAAGGUUAUUCACUGUGAAUAAAACCUUGACAAAUGGCUCUGAUGCAAAAUGGUCAGGGCUUUGCAUUUAAAGUAUACUUGGCAGGACAUGUGGAAGCAAGAGAGCCCUGUGGGGAGGAUCUCACAACACUAAUGUCCUGUGAUUUCUGUCCAAUUAUGUACUACACCAAAGAGAUAAUCAAAUAAAACAUAGUACUAGCAACUUGAUAGAGUAAAAAGAUCGGGUAGUUGUUAGGAAGUGAAAUACUUACUGGAAAAUGUUAAAAUGCUGGAUAAUCAGAAUGAAAAUGGGAGGAAAACACGAAAGAUUUAAUUUGACUUCUUAUAUAAAUUGACAUUAAAAAUUACCAUGACUUCAAGAUGUGUUCAUAUCAUACUAAAAAAUUAAUACAUCCUUGAGGGCUGGGGAUUUAGCUCAUUGGCACUGCACCCACCUCGUAAGUGCAAGGUCCUGAGUUCAAUCCCUGGUACUGGAAAAAGAAAAAACAAAAAACUUAACACUUCCUAAAAAAAAAUUAGGGAUUACAAAUCUUGUUUUCAUACUGAUAAAUCCACGUAUCCUUUUGUAAAGAGAAAAUAUAGUAUCCAUAUGGACUCAGGCAUAGGUUUAGCUCUGUUACUUCUCUACUAUUGUGGCCUUUCCCCCUGAUUAUGAGUUAUUCAUGUUCUUUGUAAAAAAAAAAAAUUUCACACUGCAGAGAAGUGGAGAAAGUGAAUGCCUCUCUUUGCCACUACAUUAUGCUUCCCAGGUUCAUGGAGGUGUCACGGUGUUGUAGCCUUGGGUCAGUCAACACCAAAAUGGAGAGGAAGUGCCAGUGAUUUUAGUGGCCACUUCUUGUUUUUGAAGGACCAUGUCUUAGUUACUUUUCAUUGCUGGGACAAAACACCUGAUACUUGCAAGCUAAAGAAAGAAAGGUUUAUUUUAGCUCGCAGUUUAUAGGGAUUUCAGUCCAUAGUUGACUGACUUCAAGUCAGGGUGGUAUGGCAGAGGAGGAACAGUCCAUGGCAGGGCAGACAGGAAGCAGUGAGCAACAGCCUUCUUUUCCCUUUUUAUUUUAUUUCAUUCAGGCUACCAGCUGAUUGGUUGAUGCUACCCACACCCAGGGUGGGCCUUCCCUUAUCCACACCCAGAACUAUGCUAAACCAAUCAGAGGACUAAUCCAGUUACCACACACUCAUAACCUAGUAUCCCACACCCAUGAUCCAGCUGCCUCCCCAAAGUCCCACUUAUGAGCUCAUGAAGCCUUGUGGGGACAUCUAAAUGUAAGCUAUCACAAACCAGGUUCUAGUAAGUGCUUUGGGUGUUAAGAAGAAUGCUGAAUGUCUAGAAAGAUUUAUGAGGCAGUAUUAUGAUUUUAUGAGUAAAAUAAUAACAUUAUGAUGUUAUGUUCACUUUUCUCAAGUAUUGGCUAAUGGUUUUCUUAAUAAUAGUGGGAGUUAUGUAGGAGGCCAGGCAGCAGUAUAUUUUAUGGAUAAAGAAACUGAGGCAUACACAACUUAAUUUGUCCAGCUAUAUGAUUUAUUAGCCAUGUGAGCCUUAUUAUCUUUUUAGAAAACAUUCUGCCCAAUUAAAACUCCUUGUAAGAUAGGAAACUAUAUACUCCAGAUUCUAGUUACUAAUUGUUUUUUUAAUUGUAUGUAUUACCUUCUUGUACACUGUGUAGUUUACUUAGUUACUGUCUUCAUUGUUUAUUUCCCCUUCCUUGAAUGUACGCUCCAUGAGAACAGGGAAUUUUGUCCUUUUUUCAGUGUUUGCAACAGCAUCUAACCAGAGUAGGAGCUCCAUAGUGAAUCUGGUGAUUAAAUGAAUCAACGUGUUCUAGGUACAUGGUUCUAGAAGAGGAGACUUGGCUCUUAGGUCAUAUGUACAGCUUUGGGCGCUGGUUGGGCAUCUUUGAAUAACACAUUGAUUACCUUUCCUAAUUCUAUGAGAUUGAAUUUAUAAAUUGGGGCUAGGGAAUGUGGGAAUGUGGCCUACAGAUUUGCUUUUUAUUUUUGGCUUUGUUCAGUGUAUUUGAAAAUUUGGGAGCAACAUUUAAGAAUUAAGAGAAUUCACAUAAAAUAAUAUUUCUAGUUUCACUCAAAAAGUUGAAAAACUUGGCCACAUGGCCCACAUUCCAUCGUGCUAGUGAAGAUCUAAGGCUGAGUAGCUGCUCUCUAUUUAGGAGAGACCUUUACUUUCUAGUUUGUCCUGGUCCCCGCCUCUGUUGCCUACUUGAUACUGAAAUGUCAAGUUGUUUUUUUGCCACCAUGCGUGUGGUUGAACUUAAACUUUUUAAAUAUGUAGAAAUAUUUCUUUGUAGCUGUGUUUUUGAAAAGAGAGGCAAAAAAGGUAAGGUUGACCUUUUUGCUCAUUGACAUUAUGUAUUUUGUUGUCUCUUGUAGGCAUUUGAACAUUGCAGGCACUUGAUAUGUGCCUGUCUUAGGUAACUAAGACCUCUCCAUCUUUUAGUUUAGACUUUCUGAGAUUAUAGUUAUGAUUACUAAUUGUAUGAAAAAGUGUAGAGAUAGUAUCUGAUAGGAAUUAACCUCAGUGCUUUGACUGUGGAAGUGGAAGGAUGGGAUAUGAGUCUGGGGGAAGUGCUUUCACUGAACCAUUACUGAACUGUGGAUUAUGAUGUUGAAAGUACAUGUCCACUUCGCUUGGUGCUCAGGUACAGCAUUAGAAGGGUCCUAAAGGUAAAUAUUCACGAUUAUAGAAUUUAUUUUUCUAUUUGUCAUAUAGCAGAAACUGCACAAGACUUGGAAAACCUUGGGAAAAGUGAUAACUUCAUCCAGAAGAUUUGUUGUUGCCUUAAAGACUUAAGCAGUUGAGCUCUGGAUCCCUUUUAAUAUAAAGAACAAAUGGUAUCUGAUUCCUAGGGUAACUUAGACAACUGGGCAAUUUUAAACCAUAGUUACUGUGGAAAUGUGGCUCAUAUUUUGAUAUUAUAUGGAUGAAUAUUAUACAAUCAGUUCUUUACACUCAUAAGUUGCUUAUUUGUUAAUGGCUUAACCAGUAGGUCCAAUUUUAAUUGACUCUUCCUGGAAAUUGGGCUAAGUACUUGAAGGCACUAUGUAAGUAAAAUGCUAAUAAUGUUUUAUAUUAUCCUAUAAUCUCUAUAAAAUUAGGAUUUCACUUAAUUUCAUUAGAAUUUGAAAGAAUAAACUGUUAGAUCUAUGUUACACAAAGAGUAUUCUCUGGUGAACACUAACUCUUGAGAAAAAUUAUUAUGUUCAACAAAGUUAGGUCUUCAAAGUUCAGUGUUAAAGAACCACCAACAGUCUAGCCCAGAGUUUCUCAACUUUACUGGAUAGUAGAAUUUGUUUUUUGCAUAGGAUGUAUAUAAUAUGUAGAAUAUUUGUCCCUUGGCACAUAUUUCAGAAAUUCUCACCUGGACAGAUUCAGGAAACAAACAUACUACAUAUAGUGGAUUCCUAUCUCCAUAUUGUUUCUUUUCCUUACUUUUGUCUGUGUUUAUAGUUACAUUUCUUCCAGGCCACUCCCAGAGGUGUGAGUUAAUGACAUGAUUAAAACAGUAUAGAAUCCACACAGAAUGGAGAGGAUCACUGUGAGUCUCCUUUUUCUGUUGAGAAAAUAAUAUUUAUGUUGAAAGAACUUGAUUUUUCUAUUUUUAGGUAAUGAACUUCUAGCUAAGGCAGUCAUCUUUUUUUUUUUUUUACCUUUAUCAUAAAUCACUGUUGUAGUUAUUGCCAUCUCUUCUGCUUUUGAUCUCUGGAGACUUGCUGUUGUUCAUAUAGAUGCUGUACUUUCUGGAUUUGGGACUUGGUACCUAGAAGCUGAUAUAAUAGGUAAAGAGAAUGGGAUAAAAUUUUGGAAUCUGAUAUGUAAGAGUGAGUGUAUUCAAGUGUAGGUAUUGUAAAGAGCUUAUACCUUGCUUACAUGGAAAAAUAAACUUUAUAAACUUAGUGGGUGUUCAGGAAUUUGAAGUGAUUUGAGAAGAGACCCUGUCUUGCUUGCCAUUGGGCAGUGGUGUAAUGUUUGAAAAAUACAGGAUGGAAUAGAUAGAUAAUCUUGAGUGCUGCUGAUUAAAACAAUUUAAAAAAUUCAUUGGAAACUUUAAGUGCUGAGAUUGCAUUUUUCAAAUUAGUAAAGACUGUAAUAUGCUAGAAGGAAAAUUACAUCCUCAUGGUGGAACAUUUAAUGCUGAUAUAAAAUUAUGAUUUGGAAUCUUUGGUAUUUGCGGGGGCUUCAGAAUUAAGUUGCUCUCCAUUUGUGAUCUUCUUAGUAUAACAUGAAGAUAGCAGGAAAAUUUGAGAGCCCUAGCCCUAGAUCUUAAAAUAAUUAGAGAUCUGCAGCUGGAUAUAAUCCACAUUAGUGAGAAAUGAUAGUGUGGUAUAACCUCUUUGCUUAUGGAUCUUGAAGCUUAGCAUUCAUCACCUGAGCCAUUCAUUUGUUUCAGAGUAAGUAAUGAGAAGCUUAGAACCAGGAAAUUGCUUGCCACAUCUUGUUCCUGGAAAAGCUGGCAGUCUAAAAAUACUUAUCAUGCAAGGUGAGACUUGAGUGAGUGUUGUACGGCGAUUGUAAUUUCUCUUUAAUAAUGUGUAGCUCAGCAAGGUACUUUCUAGGGAAAAUUUCUUCUAACUCAGCCUUUAUUUGUAACUCCAAUCUCAAAUUAGCAAAUAAUCCAAAUGGGGAUCACAGAGUUUUAAACUGGGAGGGAAUUUGCAGAUAGUCUAGUUCAGAUACUUCAUGUUGCAGAUGAAAGUAGACUCUGAGAGCUCAAGUCACAUAGCUGAUAUCAGUAACAGAAAUGAACCAAAGUUUGGAUGCCACCCAGGUCCUUUUUUGUAGUGUCAUGUAGAUUUCAGUCUGUCCAGUGACAGAAUUCCUUGAGAACUAUUUUAAAAACUGACGUUUUUAUUCAUCCAGUUAAACAAAUCUGGGGCUUCACAAGUAUAUUUUGUAUAUUUUGGAAUGUAAUUGAUUAUUUAAAGCCACUUUUCAAAUAAAUUCUACAAAAGGUAGCCGUUGUGAUGGUGUGAUCUCAUUGUGUUGAUGUUAUUCUCCUAUGAUAUGUGUGAUAUUUAAAGCAAUCAGCUUGUACAAAAGGUAUAAAAAAGUCUUUUCACUCAUUUAUUCAACUGAAAGACUUUAAAAUUAAUAGACAGUGGCCAAAUAAUAUUCAGGUUUCUCUUUUCAGUGACAGGGAAAUUAACUUUCUUACAGCAUAGAACAGGCAUUGAGAGAGACCUGACUCGUCAUGGUGCUGAAUUUCACAAAAUCAGUUUUGAAUCAAUAGGACUUUCAGUGUUUUGUUAGUUUUUAAAACUCACAAUGAGCAACCAAUACCCAUAGGACUUUGCAUAAAAAAAUUAGUUCAGAAAAAUUAUUCUUUUUGCCAGGCAUUGGUGAUGCAUGUCUGUAAUCCCAGCACUUGAGAGGCUGAGGCAGGAGAGUCAGAGCACGCUGGAGGCCAGCCUAGGCUACAUAAUGAGUUCAAGACCAGCUUGAACUACACAGCAAGAUCCUGUCUCAAGAAAACAAAACAACAACAAAAAAGUUUUACUAAUUCUGGUUUCCAAAUUAAAUAUUUGGAUCAAGAUCGCCUAUUUUGAAAGUACAAUGUAAGAUUAGGGGGAAUAUGUUUUACCACAAUUUUCUUAAACCCUGGAAAAACCCAAUAAGAACUCAUUGGGAAUGAGGAAACUUCCUUAGUGACUAUUGGAGAUGGAUGCAGUGCAGCACAGCUGUCUGCAGAGGUUUGGAGGAAUUCCCAGGAUGGUCAGUAGUGAGUCAUUGGAGGAUUGAGGGGGGCAACACAUAACACAGGCAAGCUGGAUAUCAGUUUUAUUACGCCCUCAGCAGUACGAAGACUUUAAAUAGUAAUUUAAGUCGUGGAGCUAUCUUCUUCCUAUUUUUUGGUACCAGGAAUCGAACUCGGGACCUUGUGCUUGCAGUGCAGGCUGCAGCACCACUGAGCUAAAUCCCUGGCCCUCUGCUGGUAUUCUUGAUCGACACAGAGAAUGCUUGAUCGUGAAGGUCCUUGGUCCUUUUUCUAACCAGCAGAUAGCAAAUACAUGACAUAGAUCUCCUUGCCUUUAAUCUCACAACCUCGGCAGGCAUCUCUGAUAACCACUGAACUGGAACAGUUAAUCUUUCUCAAAACUGCACUCCAGGCAAGCACCCAGACAAGCACCCAAUUGAUUGGCACAGACAUGUAAGGAAAAGCCCAUGGCUGUCACCAAACAAAGCCUGUUAGGGAGCUGGACAAGGAUGUGCACUUAGGAACUACAGAAAUAGUUUCUGGUAGUAUCACAAUGACCCAAGUUUCUUGAUUUUUCCAGUGUAGUAUUCUUUCACUUUGCUCAUAUAGCAGGAUGGAUUUGUGAAAGUGAGCUGAAAUGACACCCUUACUUAGAGUUCCACUUAGAGGGAGUAAAUCAUUCUUCACUUGGUAUGGUAGGAUCCAGUUAUGGAAGAUCAUAUAACUAAUCUAACUUUUCACAGUAAUCUCUUCUUUGCCUAUAAAGAGUUAGAGAAAUAAAUUAGCAUAGUAGAGCUGGGGUUGGGAAAGUGGGGAAAAGGGAGUAGUACAUAAUGGAACUUUUCUGAAGUACUUGGAAUUUUAAAAAGGAGUAAUUACAGAUACAAGAGUGUCUUGCAAUACUGUUGAAAGUUUUCCCAGAAUUUAAAUUUGUUAUUGUAGAUGUUCUUUAUGUAUUUAGAUGAGCCUUUAUUCAAUUAAUUUGAAUUAUGAAUAUUACUCCACCUAUAUAAUUUUAAAAUGUGAAAAGGGGUAGUACAGAUAGAUAUUUCCCUUUAAUUUGCAGACAUUUGAAAAAAUUUUAUGGAUUCAGCAUACCCAGUCUGGAAAUUAAAAAUGCCCUGAAAUCUGCAACUUUUUGAGUACUGACAUUAUACUCAAAAUUUUAUGAUUUUAGAGCAUUUCUGAUUUCAUAUUUUUCAGAUUAGGGAUUUCGAUUGGUAAAAUCUAUGUGAGUAUUUCAAAAUCUGAAAAACCCCUAAUUCUGAAACCCUUUUGUUCCCAAGCAUUUUGGAUAAGGGAGUCUCAACCUGAAUUAGAAAUUACAGAAGUCAGUACUAGGAAAAAAAUUUACAGAACUCAGAUUUCUUUCUUUUUUUCUUUUUUGGUAUUGAGGAUCGAACUUGGGACCUUGGGCUUGUGAGGCAGGCUCUGGAACCACUGAGCUAAAUCCCCAGCCCUGAUUUCUUAAUAAAUUAAGAAAUGGCAUUGUAGUACCAAGCACUGUAUAUUUUCCUAGUUUUCUAAACAAUGUGUAUAUUUUUCAUGUGUAUGCAUAUGUGCAUUGGUGUGUAUUUGUUUUAGAGUAUCUGAAUUUCAACUUUAUGAAAUAACCUUGUAACUCUAGUCCCAGAAAUAUAUGGACUAGUAUUUGUAUCUCAGGUUUGAUACCAAAAUUAUCAGCUUCUUCAAAAAGUUUGCUUUUAUUAGUAGGAAAUACCAUGUAAUGCACAUGUUCCUUUCAAAUUUGUAUUUAUAGGUCUUGACAAGAUAGGUCAUUAAAAAGCAAUUUUCAAAAUUGUGUAGCUUGAGGUCAUAUUCCUUGGAUUGCCUUGACUUUUUAGUGACCUUGUGUUUA
This 11680-nucleotide long non-coding RNA is filed under the name Heterocephalus glaber (naked mole-rat). RNAcentral describes it as "lncRNA (ENSHGLG00100042595.1)". The record is from RNAcentral. Lineage: Eukaryota; Metazoa; Chordata; Mammalia; Rodentia; Bathyergidae.